This is a long non-coding RNA of Homalodisca vitripennis (glassy-winged sharpshooter), 776 nucleotides long. RefSeq lists it as uncharacterized. Lineage: Eukaryota; Metazoa; Arthropoda; Insecta; Hemiptera; Cicadellidae. The transcript has 2 exons. The record is from RefSeq and is a predicted model, not a curated record.
GGGAGUUCUGCAGGACAUACAUCAUGUGAGACACAACCGGUACACGACUGCUCACACCGACUCCUACACAUCUUGAGGUCUCCACCACCGGGUUCCUCCUUACAAGCUCGCUCACAACCAACACUUAAAAUGCAGGUGAUGAGGCGUGUGUCCCGGCGGUGCAGCCGGUUGGGCCGUGCUGCCGUCCUGAUUGUGGAUGUUAUGUCAAAGCCAACAUGCCUCUCCUGCACAAACCCGUAACCUUAUCCACAUGCAGCCCACACCCAGUUAGUGGCAACAUGCUGGCGCCAUGCUUCACUUAUUGUUGUUAAUACUACUCAGAUUUGGAUAUUACUCGUAAACUAAGAGAACAAACUUAAGGAAAGCAUUGAUUCUAAGUGUUGUGUUGAUAUUAUGUAAUGGUAUUUUACAAGCAUUUGAAUUUAAUAGAAUUAGUCAAAUUUUGCAUAAAAAUGUAGUAAUAUGUUAAAAUAUACGUACUUAAUACGCACAUACUCAGUACAUACGUAUUCAAUAUGUACACACUCAAUAUGUACAUACUUAAUGUAUGUAAUAUAUGUUAAAACUGUCUGAUGUUAGAAUGUCUCCACACUUUUGAAAUUACUAGAUGUUAGGCAUCAGGGGACAUGCAAACAUUUGUGACUAAUUAUAUAGAAAAUUAUAGCUAACUUGUUAAGAAAGCAUUAUGUAUAAACAUGAAAACUACAUAAAUCUACAUGAUGUUGUACAGGUUCAGAUAAUUUACAAAAGUGAAAGUUAUAAUUUUAAUUAAUUAU